RNAcentral lists this ribosomal RNA (390 nucleotides) under uncultured bacterium. RNAcentral's name for it is "bacterial SSU rRNA". It matches the Rfam family "Bacterial small subunit ribosomal RNA", at positions 28 to 420 of the family's 1533-position model. The record is from RNAcentral.
GACGAACGCUGGCGGCGUGCUUAACACAUGCAAGUCGAGCGGUAAGGCCCUUUCGGGGGUACACGAGCGGCGAACGGGUGAGUAACACGUGGGUGACCUGCCCUCAGCUCUGGGAUAAGCCUGGGAAACCGGGUCUAAUACCGGAUAUGACUCCAUGACGCAUGUUGUGGGGUGAAAGCCUUGUGCGGCUGAGGAUGGGCCCGCGGCCUAUCAGCUUGUUGGUGGGGUGAUGGCCUACCAAGGCGACGACGGGUAGCCGGCCUGAGAGGGCGACCGGCCACACUGGGACUGAGACACGGCCCAGACUCCUACGGGAGGCAGCAGUGGGGAAUCUUGCGCAAUGGGCGAAAGCCUGACGCAGCGACGCCGCGUGAGGGAUGACGGCCUGGU